AGUGGUUUGAAUGCUCUCUGAAUGCACUGUAUAGCUUGGGAUGUAAGUCUAUAUUUUGGGAUGUAGGUUUAUAUUAUUGUUUGUACAUUAGAUAAUGGAAUUCUGAUCUGUUGCUGGCUAUUACAGGAGGGACCUCUUUACUUUAAUUAUUUCAUUAUCUCCCCCUCCUCUCAGCUGUUCCUUGCAGGGCCACGCUGACUGAGUUAGUGCCUGUGCUGUUAUGGGUUCAUUGGGCUGGUAUGUGGCAGGAAUCUUUGGAUCAAGGUAAUUUCACAGUGUUCAACAUUUUCCCAGGCUGUUAAGCUUCCCUUUACCUUUGUGCCACUCGAAGAACGAGAUAAGGAGUGACACAUGUUGCCAUUAAACACACACAGCAUCCCUGCAGCACCCAGGGCUGACGCCACCAGCGGGGCAAAGGAACGACUUGAAAGACACGGACUAUAAAAUGAUCUUCUGACACUCCAGUUUCCCAAAAGGAUCAGAUUAUUGCAGCCUGUCCAAGUGUGGUACGUGUGUAGUGCAUUCAUGGGUGGCACUGUAAUAAUGAUGAAAGGGGUUGGAUUUGUCAUUGCAGAGGUCCAGAGUUUUGGGAGGGAGGCCGGGCAGGCGGGGCUGUCGUUUGUCUUUAUCAGAUACAAGGAAGAUAAGAAGGUCCUGCUCUCAUGUACCAUCUGUUUCUGCUGGAGACCUCCGGGGCCCUAACCUAACCACACACACUGCAUGAAGAUGGUGCCCUUACCCACUGUGUGUGUGUGUGCGUGCGUGCGUGCGUGCGUGUGUGUGUGUGUGUGUGUGUGUGUGUGUGCAGGUGUUGGCAUUGGGAAUCAACAAUGAGUUGAUGACAAUGAGCCCAUCAACCCUUGAAACACCAAGAAUAUCUGUUUCAAAGUCAAUAGGAGAGCCUCUUAAACACAGCUGCAGUCAGAAAGGUUUCUGUGAGACAGGACUGCUACCUUAUUCCCACCUUCUCAACUUGUGGAGAACACAUAGUUAAACUUUUCAUGUUUGCAAUGCUUUUUGUCCGUUUGACAAAUAUAAUGUCAAUAGGCAGCGUUUUUCUUUGUUCCCAACAGGGAGGGGUGCAUGAAUCAUACAUUAAACAUGAUUCGCAUGAAUGCCUCACUCAGAGACAACAGUUCUCUUUCUUUCUGGGCAAUUUGCAGCAAGUGUCAAAACUGGGUGUCUCUCAACUUGAAUGCAAAUAUCUCUCUCUACUGUAUGCUGUAUGAUCAUAUUUACAGUUGACGUGUUUAUGAAUCAUUGACUUCAAUUCACAUAGUUCAAUAUAUGUAUUGGUCUUUAGAGACACAAAAUUGCAUUACCUCCCAGGGGAUUGGCUGCCAGUCAUUCCAUCUGUCUCUCAAUCUCUCGUUCUGUCUGUCUCAAACUGACAUCUGUCUGAGGGAACAUAUUGAGGACACAUCGAAGUAUGAAGUUUGAAGGCCAUACAAAGUUUUCACUCAGACAAUAAAGGGUAAGUAUUCCUUGUGAAGUAGCCAACAGGACAAUCAGUUCAUUAGGGCACAGAACAGAAAAUGUUUUAAAAGUUUUGCAACAGACAAGGAAAAUGUGUUUUUCUUAUUGGACAGGUCCAGGUAGUCGCUCCCUUUUUGAGUCUGUUUUCUUCCAUUUGGUGUCUAAUGAACACUACCCAUUGGAGAGUACUGCAUUACAAUAAAUGUUUGGGAUGAUGCACAUUUGGUUUGUACAUGGAGCUGAACGUCUUCAGGAUGUUUUUACUCCCUCUGGACCAACAUUCCAACAUGCCAGGAAUCAGGAGGGCCGCCUUGUGCAGAAUUACACCGUGAGGGACACAACCUGCCCUCAGAGAGUCCUUGCAUUCUGUUUCAAGGCCCCUCGGAGCAACAAUGCCUUAUGUGUGGGUUGCAAAGGAAGGGAGGGAAAAGCUUGGGCUCUGGUAUAGUAUCAGUAAGCAGCUGCUGCAUGAGUGACAAACUCAAGGGCUACCGAUAUGAACAUGGGAAAAUCCUAGGGAAGCAGGGGGUGAAGACAAAGCAGCAGAUGAGCCUCUCCACUCAAAAAUGUGCUGUUGUGUUCUUCUACAAGUGUGAGAAAGAAAGGAAAACCUAUACUAAGUAUCCUCUGGACGGCCAAGGGAAUAUUUACUGUCCUUGUCAAACUGUACCCCAGAUCUUCGUCUAUUCUCCUCUCCCCAGUUUUGAUGAGUCAUUGAAAGGUUGUUGGUGGAGUUCAAAAGGUAGGGUCAAGCAUGUGAGAGAGGAGGGUAGAAGGGGGGGGGGGGUAAAGAAAGGUAAAUUAAUAGCAGACUGGCUCUUCUGUUGUCGGAGGGAGGGUUUGGCUGGCUGGUGCUGUACAGACAUCCUUAUUGUCUGUCCCAUGCAGGUAGAUCAACACCAACUAUGUUCUCUCUGUGUAGACACCCAUAUGUCCCUCAACGCGCUGUCAGCAACCCCUUUGAUAGAUUCUGGCUGAAUGUAAAAAGUUUGCUUUGAGUUAUUAAUGAUGUUUUAACUUGUGUUUUCUAAACUUUUCAAGAGCUGUUUCUUUGACUGAAAUGACAGCCUCGUUUCUUCCCUUCCGUUUUCAAAGCAAGAAGAUGUUGAAGAUUUGUUGUAUGACAACCGAGAAUAGGCCUACAGUUGCACGUUGUUUUUUUUAUUCUCUUUGUUCGUAUUGUGUCUUUUCCAAAGCUUUUUGGGGCACCUGCUAAUAUUGUAAUAUCAGUCAAAUGUCACAAGGUGUCACGACUUCUGCCGAAGUUGUUGCCUCUCCUUGUUCGGGCGGUGCUCGGCGGUCGAUGUCACCGGUCGUCUAGCCAUCAUUGAUUCAUUUUCCAUUGGUUUUGUCUUGUCUUCCCACACACCUGUUUUCAAUCCCAUUCAUUACCUGUUGUGUAUUUAAACCUCUGUUUCCCCUCAUGUCUUUGUCAGAGAUUGUUUAUUGUCAGUGUUGUGUUUGUUGUAUAGGUGCGCGACGGGUCCUCGUACCCAUGUUUGUUUAUAUUCUGUUCUUAUUAGUGUUAUGGAGCAUGUUACGUGGACAUUCAUUAAAAGACUCCAUUUGACACUCCGUUUGACUCUCCUGCGCCUGACUUCCCUGCCACCUAUACACACAACUCUGACACAAGGUCUAGACUAAUGCAACUUUAUAACCGGUUGUAACCACCCCCACAUAGCAUAUGAGAAGGUCUGCAGUGUGUACCUCUGUCUUCAGCAUCGAUUUAUCUCUUUAACAGGGAGGGUAUUCACCUUGCCCCAAGGCGUGGAGAGAUGACAAAUAAACAUUGUUCUUUUGCUCUUGCCCUUGUUUUUGGACAUAAUGAGAUAAGAAAUCAUUUUCGGGAGGACAUCUUUGCAUAAAGAAUGUCUGAGGGAGUCUACAGCCCUGGUCAUUGGUGCCAACGUUGCAGUGUAACGUCAGUAAUAGAAUGGUGAGAAUAAAACACGAUUCUGAGACCAUCCCACAGGUACUUGAGCUUCCAGGGACAACCCUCACGAACUGAGUAGCUUGGUUUCUGAAAGACGUCCAGAGUAUGGAAAGGGGUUGAGAAUGUAGUCUGUAGCGUUUGCUUAUCAAUCCAUUAUUGCACGUACUUAUUCCCACUAAAUAGUCCUAUGGCUGGUGUGUUUAUUCUGCAGGAGCUGGCUCUCUAGAUAUCCCUCCUGUCCUCUCUCCGUCUGUAUGACUUGAAAUAACUUUCCAUCCUCUCCCCAUUGCUCUCACAUAUAAACGCGGGUCUCCUUUGCUGUGACGUUAUGCCAUUCCAUCUUAGGGAAAUGCAGUCGAAAAUAGAAUCAAGUCAAAUGAAUCGGUUUGAUUGAAUCAAACAUGGAUGCAUGUGUUCCUAAUCUAGUGUGUGAGGUUAAAAGUAGAAUAUGUGUAUUUUUUUUAGCGAAAUGUGCAGUGUUGGGUGGUCAUGCGAGCUGAGUUAUGGCUACCUGGCUUUCUGAUUUUGGUCUGUUAUUGUCCAGGUAGCCUAACAACUGUACUCUGUCUGUAUUCUACGAUUAGACGAGAUACAGGACAUUGUUAUCACCCAGUUGUAUUGGCACUUCUUUGUGGAUAUCAGCAAUAACAUGAAUGAUCAUUGGAGCAUUGCAUACAGCCGGGUAUUAUGGUAUGGAUAGAUCUUUUGUUAUUGCUUUACUCAGACAUCUGCAGUUGUUCAACCACAACAAAAUAACCCCAGGACGAGCUCAGUUGUGAGCUUUGACCAAUGCGUUAUAAGAAAAUGAUAAGCAUGCAUAAGGUGUUUUGAAAUAAAACAUGUAGUGAAUAUAAAUGAUAGCAUAUUUUGUAGCAAGUGAUGUCUCAUGACCACCUAACACACAGUGUUACUACAUGGUUGUUACUACAUGGUUGUUACUACAUGGUUGUUACUACAUGGUUGUUACUACAUGGUUGUUACCACAUGAUUGUUACCACAUGGUUGUUACUACAUGGUUGUUACUACAUGGUUGUUACUACAUGGUUGGUACCACAUGGUUGUUACUACAUGGUUGUUACUACACGGUAGUAGUAAUUUAGUAUAUUUUGUUACUUGUAUGCGACAAGCUAAGGAGACUUGGGAGUUAUAACAGAUGUUCAAGCUCAGGUUAAUGCAGGAAAUGGUUUGCAUUACUUUGGAAGUAUAAACAAAAUAACUUGCCUGAUAAGGUUCUGCUUUAUAGUGCACAGAUGAUAUUUUUGAGAUGACAAUGUCAGGGGAGUUCCAAAUGUUAAAACGUUGUAAUGAACUAUUUGAAUGGUGUGUUUGUUUCACUGGUGUAUUAUUUUGCUGUUAACUGUUUUUCAAGUCAGCCAGUGUGGCAGUUACUGAAUAGUGAACAAAUGUAAACAUGGAGUGGGGCAGAGUGGUUGAACCUCUUAUUAAUCGGAAUUAACAGUGUAUGCACGUGGUUUUUGUCAUUCAGCAUUUCUGACCCUGUCAUGGUUGAAUUAGGGUCAUCUUUUUUACAUCAACAAUAUGUUAGAUUUAUUAGGCCAUUUUUGGGGAAUAUUUUCUCUGCUUUUCAGUUGUCACAUGUAACACAAAUCAUUUGUGCUGUUUUUAUAACAUAAACAGUAAACAUGUUCACACCAGGUCAAAAGUGUGGAAUAAGAGAACAAAAUCUACUUCUAUAAAUAACAUUAGUAUAUAUCUUAAUUUAGGAAAUGAAUUAGUGAACUUUAUUCAUAUAUUAUGUUAUAAAUAAUUAAAUGGUUUAAUUUUUUUUAUAUUCAACCAACUGAUUCUUUAAAUACUAUUAACAAGGUUAUCAAUAACAUUUAAACAGUCUUUUAAAAAUAGUUUCAAAGAUAAAGCAUAAGAAAAGAACAAACAUAAUAUAUAUGAUUUGUAUCUACAGUCUGAAAUGAUAUAAAGGCAUUCAAACCAAUAACCUACAGAGUGGAUUUGGCUCUUUCUGCCUUUUUGCCCUCUAAUAUGGUAUGGGAGACAAAUCUAGUUACGUGUUCCGUGUAUUUGAUUGUUUAAUUAAAAGUGAAAAACUAAAUGUGUUUUUUUUUCUCAUUCGUGUUAAUUAUCUGGUUAGAAAGAUGUUAUUUGGCAUGGCAGAACUGCACUAAUUCCAGCUUGCCUCUGUUGCACAUAGCUGCAGGUGUGUUAGAAUGAUCUCUAGGUAUCCCACAUUUCACUUGUUUUUCAAAACGUGCUUCUAUCACAUGCCAUAAUUGACAUUCUCUAUAAAUCAGCCAACUUUCACACAGCCUAGUUUAGUAAGAUUGUGGAAAUGCCUUCUUUUUAGAACCUAUUUUUGAACCUGUUUUGAUAAUUAUUUUGUAGUAGUUUCAAAUGUAGUUCCAUGUAAAAGCCCAAUCAACACAUUAUGAUUGUUUCAUUGCUGCAUAAUUUAUCUGUAAACAUGCUCACAGGGAAGAUAAACAAUGUCAGAAAUAUGUUAUAAACUGUAAAAUUAUAUGUUUUUUAUGAAUUUGAGAAGAUAACAUAUGGUAUAGAACUUCUACAUGGUUUUCACUUCAAAUAUGUUCAUUUUCUGAAUUGUGAACUUAAAAAUGUUUAUUUUUCUUUUGAUUUCAAUAUCCUCUUUUUUCAGUCUAAUUUGUUUGAAAGGAGGCAGAGACUCACAACCUAUAGUUUAGGCUACUACUGUCAUUUGUGGAGCAUUGAAACCUUAAACUCAUGAAGUUCCUUCCUGAUAAAAAUGAGUUUAAAAGCAUCUUAAUUCUUGUUUUGGUCAGCAACCUACUUGUGCUUUUGGUAUGCAGCCUAGCCUAGCCUAGCCCAAAUGCUAGCAUUAUCUUCCCAUUAUUUAAAAACCUUUUAUGUAGGGCUGUAUCAUGCCCCUUUGAGUGAACGUUGAGUGAGACAAACCAUUGCAGUCACACUAUGAGGUGAGAUAUUUUUUUAAACCUUUUUAACCCCGAAUAAAGUUCAGAACAAAC
This is a long non-coding RNA of Oncorhynchus kisutch (coho salmon), 6387 nucleotides long. RefSeq lists it as uncharacterized. NCBI's taxonomy places the organism in Eukaryota, Metazoa, Chordata, Actinopteri, Salmoniformes, Salmonidae. The transcript is spliced from 2 exons. The record is from RefSeq and is a predicted model, not a curated record.